RNAcentral lists this ribosomal RNA (987 nucleotides) under Plasmodium knowlesi. RNAcentral describes it as "SSU rRNA". It matches the Rfam family "Eukaryotic small subunit ribosomal RNA", at positions 638 to 1428 of the family's 1831-position model. Lineage: Eukaryota; Apicomplexa; Aconoidasida; Haemosporida; Plasmodiidae. The record is from RNAcentral.
ACAUAACUGAUGCCUCCGCGUAUCGACUUUGUGCGCAUUUUAGCUAUUAUGUGUUCUUUUAAUUAAAAUGAUUCUUUUUAAGAUUCAUCUAUUAAGAAUUUGCUUCGGCAUAAUUUUUUUUGAUGAUCUUGUUACUUUGAGUAAAUUAGAGUGUUCAAAGCAAACAGAUAUAGCAUUUGUGCGUUUGAAUACUACAGCAUGGAAUAACAAAAUUGAACAAGUCAGAAUUUUUUUGUUCUUUUUUCUUAUUUUGGCUUAGUUACGAUUAAUAGGAGUAGCUUGGGGGCAUUUGUAUUCAGAUGUCAGAGGUGAAAUUCUUAGAUUUUCUGGAGACAAACAACUGCGAAAGCAUUUGCCUAAAAUACUUCCAUUAAUCAAGAACGAAAGUUAAGGGAGUGAAGACGAUCAGAUACCGUCGUAAUCUUAACCAUAAACUAUGCCGACUAGGCUUUGGAUGAAAGAUUUUAAAAUAAGAGUUUUUCUUUUCUCUCCGGAGAUUAGAACUCUUAGAUUGCUUCCUUCAGUGCCUUAUGAGAAAUCAAAGUCUUUGGGUUCUGGGGCGAGUAUUCGCGCAAGCGAGAAAGUUAAAAGAAUUGACGGAAGGGCACCACCAGGCGUGGAGCUUGCGGCUUAAUUUGACUCAACACGGGAAAACUCACUAGUUUAAGACAAGAGUAGGAUUGACAGAUUAAUAGCUCUUUCUUGAUUUCUUGGAUGGUGAUGCAUGGCCGUUUUUAGUUCGUGAAUAUGAUUUGUCUGGUUAAUUCCGAUAACGAACGAGAUCUUAACCUGCUAAUUAGCGGCAAAUACGAUAUAUUCUUAUGUAGAAUUGAAUAUAGUGGAUUUGUUGGAUUUUGAAGAAAAUAUUGGAAUUACGUUAAAUGUCAUUCCUUUCCCUUUUCUACUUAAUUUACAUUUCCAUCUAUUUCUUUUUUGCGUAUGAAUGUAUUUGCUUGAUUGUAAAGCUUCUUAGAGGAACGAUGUGUG